CCGGCGACCGGCGCACGGGUGAGUAACACGUAUGCAACCUGGCCGUGACAGAUGGAUAACCGGGAGAAAUCCCGCCUAAUACAACAUGAUGCCGGGAGGGGACAUCCCCUGCCGGCCAAAGGGGGCGACCCCGGUCACGGAUGGGCAUGCGGCGCAUUAGGUAGUUGGUGGGGCAACGGCCCACCAAGCCGACGAUGCGUAGGGGUUCUGAGAGGAAGGUCCCCCACAUUGGAACUGAGACACGGUCCAAACUCCUACGGGAGGCAGCAG
Molecule: ribosomal RNA, 270 nt
Filed under: uncultured bacterium
Lineage: Bacteria
Description: partial 16S ribosomal RNA
Rfam family: Bacterial small subunit ribosomal RNA
Source: RNAcentral